CCUACGGGAGGCAGCAGUGGGGAAUAUUGCACAAUGGGGGAAACCCUGAUGCAGCGACGCCGCGUGAGUGAAGAAGUAAUUCGUUAUGUAAAGCUCUAUCAGCAGGGAAGAAAAUGACGGUACCUGACUAAGAAGCCCCGGCUAACUACGUGCCAGCAGCCGCGGUAAUACGUAGGGGGCAAGCGUUAUCCGGAUUUACUGGGUGUAAAGGGAGCGUAGACGGCUGUGCAAGUCUGAAGUGAAAGGCCGGGGCUCAACCCGCGUACUGCUCUGGAAACUGUACUGCUUGAGUGCAGGAGAGGUAAGUGGAAUUCCUAGUGUAGCGGUGAAAUGCGUAGAUAUUAGGAGGAACACCAGUGGCGAAGGCGGCUUACUGGACUGUAACUGACGUUGAGGCUCGAAAGCGUGGGGAGCAAACAGGAUUAGAUACCCUUGUAGUC
This 440-nucleotide ribosomal RNA is filed under the name uncultured bacterium. RNAcentral's name for it is "partial 16S ribosomal RNA". It matches the Rfam family "Bacterial small subunit ribosomal RNA", at positions 338 to 795 of the family's 1533-position model. The record is from RNAcentral.